Molecule: transfer RNA, 77 nt
Filed under: Pseudobdellovibrionaceae bacterium
Lineage: Bacteria; Pseudomonadati; Bdellovibrionota; Bdellovibrionia; Bdellovibrionales; Pseudobdellovibrionaceae
Also listed under: 1 other name
Description: Bdellovibrionaceae bacterium tRNA-Arg
Rfam family: tRNA
About the family: Transfer RNA (tRNA) molecules are approximately 80 nucleotides in length. Their secondary structure includes four short double-helical elements and three loops (D, anti-codon, and T loops).
Source: RNAcentral
GCACCCCUAGCUCAAUUGGAUAGAGUAUCUGACUUCGGAUCAGAGGGUUGGAGGUUCGAGUCCUCCGGGGUGCGCCA